UUUCCGUAGGUGAACCUGCGGAAGGAUCAUUAUUGAGUGAGACACUUCUGGCUUUAUGCUGUUGUGCUGGCCCUUUGGGCAAUGUGCACACGGCUCUGGUCACUUGUUUCUUCUGUUCCACCUGUGCACUGCCUGUAGACACGCUGUGUCUAUGAUAUUUGUUAACACACAACAAUGUUAGUUGGCAUGUUAUAUAUAAUAAUAAAAUAUACAACUUUCAACAACGGAUCUCUUGGCUCUC
This 241-nucleotide unclassified non-coding RNA is filed under the name plant metagenome. RNAcentral describes it as "partial contains small subunit ribosomal RNA, internal transcribed spacer 1, and 5.8S ribosomal RNA". The record is from RNAcentral.